UACGUAGGGGACGAGCGUUGUCCGGAAUUAUUGGGCGUAAAGAGCGUGUAGGCGGCCCUGCAAGUCCUGCGUGAAAUCUCGAGGCUCAACCUCGAGCGGUCGUGGGAAACUGCAGGGCUAGAGUGCGGGAGAGGGAAGUGGAAUUCCAGGUGUAGCGGUGAAAUGCGUAGAUAUCCGGAGGAACACCGGUGGCGAAGGCGGCUUCCUGGACCGACACUGACGCUGAGGCGCGAAAGCUAGGGGAGCAAACGGG
RNAcentral lists this ribosomal RNA (253 nucleotides) under uncultured bacterium. RNAcentral describes it as "partial 16S ribosomal RNA". It matches the Rfam family "Bacterial small subunit ribosomal RNA", at positions 524 to 776 of the family's 1533-position model. The record is from RNAcentral.